Long non-coding RNA from Cyprinus carpio carpio, 1102 nucleotides. The record is from Ensembl. Lineage: Eukaryota; Metazoa; Chordata; Actinopteri; Cypriniformes; Cyprinidae.
UGUGAAUGAACCUCCACAGUUCACCACAUGGGGACCCUAUGUGCAAGAGUUCGAAGUCAUUCCCAUCAGUGGCUCUCAGUCUUCUCUGAACCCCAUGGCUCCUGAGUUCAAAUCGCUAGGACUCCAACCAAUUCUUGAUCACUCAGUUGCACCUCUUGACACACAUACAGCUGUCCAUCAGUCCCCAACCCAAAGUGGCCAUGUCAUCAUAGACAUUCCAGAAGAUGAGAUAUUGCAAAGCACAGUGGUCACAGACCCAACACCAGCUCAUGACACGGACAAUGUUCAGAACAGGUUUCCUGUAACCCCUAAAAGGCACUCAGAAGUUACUUGUGGGGAAGAACAAGGUAAGCAGCCCAGGCGUUCAAACAGAGAAAGACACCCCCCACCCAAGUUCACCUAUGAAGAGCUAGGGAAACCCCUAAUCCUUGCCCUUAGCCAGUUUUUUGGGAAACUCCAAGACAUUAUUCCUGACCAUCAGAUACCUUGUCAGAUUUAACGCACAUGCAGGGACUCAUGUGGUUUAGAGGGGGAGGGUGUAACCCUGUCAAUUUUGCCCCAAUAAAGUCCUGAAGUGACCUUUAAUGCAAACGAGUAAAACUAGGGUAAAAUGCAAUAUCUAGUUCGCCACUAGGUGGCAGUGCACAAUGAAACGUUCUUCUUCUGCUGUUUUCUGCCAUUCGAGCUGCCUUGAAAAAAGCCUGGAAAACGGGAGCCAGAGCAGAAGUAAAUUUUAAGAUUGAAAUUGAUUUAGAAAACGAAAUAUAUCCUCGAGGUUGAACUACAUUGAAAUUUAGACGACACCUGUUGUAAAACGAAGUUAUCUCGUGGAUUACAGUGGAUUAAAAAAAAACAGUCUGGCUAUCUACAAUAGCAGUGGAUGUUACCACACAGACUGUUUUUUUUUUGAGGCUUCUUCUGGUCACAGAUCCCUGAUGUUCUUUCCACCGAAGCUGGAUUCCUCUCUGUUUGCCCUGGUGCCUGGUUCCCUGGUCCACUGCCUCAACUAACAGCGCUGCAACGGUUCCAUUGGGUGGUUUGAUAUGGACGCUGAGUAUUGAAGGGGUGGUUGGACAGUUAAAAUAUUUGAGUGCACUCAAGG